Long non-coding RNA from Sinocyclocheilus anshuiensis, 450 nucleotides. RefSeq lists it as uncharacterized. NCBI's taxonomy places the organism in Eukaryota, Metazoa, Chordata, Actinopteri, Cypriniformes, Cyprinidae. The transcript is spliced from 4 exons. The record is from RefSeq and is a predicted model, not a curated record.
UGAUCGUGGGAUACUUUUCUAUCCCACAAUCCCAUGGGAGAGGAUACGUUAACCAAGAAGAAGAGAGGAUGCGUCUAGUCUGCCGCCAACAGCCGCAAAUCCUUAAGAAGAAGAAGAAGAGGAGGAGGAUACGUCAUAAUCGAACAUCAAGAAGAACGAGGAUGUUUUCAAAUGGACAGAUGAGCACACACAUGUGCUUAUCCGGUGGAGAGUGGCUAAUGAGGCCCUCUUCACCGGAAAACGAAAUGCAGCCAUUAAAGGCUUUGAAGCUUUUGUGAUGGAGCAGGGCUUGCAAGACAGGGUGAUGGCGGCCUUUGUAAAAAAAAUGUGAAAACCUGAAACAAAAAUAUAAAGAUCUCAAAUGUCCGGCAACCAGUGUGAGCACUGAGGAUGGAGAGCCCACAGCAGCAUCUUGGAAGUGGUAAAGGGCCAUGGAGGAGGCAAUUGGGU